AGCAAUGGCAGACUGGGUCCCCAGAAGAGUGGUUGAAGGGGUACUCCCAUGAGUGACUGGACACCAGCUUCAAGCUGACUAUGCCCAGGCCUGGAAAUGACCGAGUGGAUUUGAGAGUUCCAGAGGUCCUGGGCCCCUGAGAUUGAGCUGACUGGUAGCAGGGGAAUUUCUGUGUCAGAAAACAAGAGGAAGGAGCCAAACCCUGUCCUGUCUGGACAAAAGGCAUGAACUCCAGACACCAUGAACCAAGAGGAAUAACUGCACUGAGUCUUCAUUUUAGCAUCCAGGUGGGAAACCACAUUGGCAUCCUGGCUUUCAGAUUUAUCCUCCUAGAAUCCUCCUAAUUUCUGAGCCUAAUUAUCCUCCUAAUACCUGAGCCAAGUCUAGAAAGAAACCAGGGAUUUGAAGACACCACAAUGGGCAGCUGUGCCUUCCCUAUAUGAGGGAUGGAAUGGACAAAGAUUCAAACAAUGCUGGACAGGAAGAGUACUGAGAAAGUCAGCCUGAUUGGACCAUACCUACAAGAUGAGAAGGGAAAGAAGAGAGCAAAAGACUGAAAAGGUAGACUGGGGUCAAGACAUAAAGAUCUUCAGAAAUGCUAAACAGAGGGACUCUUUUGUGAAAACAGAGGUAAUAGG
This 638-nucleotide long non-coding RNA is filed under the name Monodelphis domestica (gray short-tailed opossum). RNAcentral's name for it is "lncRNA (ENSMODG00000049820.1)". The record is from RNAcentral. Lineage: Eukaryota; Metazoa; Chordata; Mammalia; Didelphimorphia; Didelphidae.